GACGAACGCUGGCGGCGUGCUUAACACAUGCAAGUCGAACGGAAAGGCCCUGCUUUUGUGGGGUGCUCGAGUGGCGAACGGGUGAGUAACACGUGAGUAACCUGCCCUUGACUUUGGGAUAACUUCAGGAAACUGGGGCUAAUACCGGAUAGGCGCUCCUGCUGCAUGGUGGGGGUUGGAAAGUUUCGGCGGUUGGGGAUGGACUCGCGGCUUAUCAGCUUGUUGGUGGGGUAGUGGCUUACCAAGGCUUUGACGGGUAGCCGGCCUGAGAGGGUGACCGGCCACAUUGGGACUGAGAUACGGCCCAGACUCCUACGGGAGGCAGCAGUGGGGAAUAUUGCACAAUGGGCGGAAGCCUGAUGCAGCAACGCCGCGUGCGGGAUGACGGCCUUCGGGUUGUAAACCGCUUUCGCCUGUGACGAAGCGUGAGUGACGGUAAUGGGUAAAGAAGCACCGGCUAACUACGUGCCAGCAGCCGCGGUGAUACGUAGGGUGCGAGCGUUGUCCGGAUUUAUUGGGCGUAAAGGGCUCGUAGGUGGUUGAUCGCGUCGGAAGUGUAAUCUUGGGGCUUAACCCUGAGCGUGCUUUCGAUACGGGUUGACUUGAGGAAGGUAGGGGAGAAUGGAAUUCCUGGUGGAGCGGUGGAAUGCGCAGAUAUCAGGAGGAACACCAGUGGCGAAGGCGGUUCUCUGGGCCUUUCCUGACGCUGAGGAGCGAAAGCGUGGGGAGCGAACAGGCUUAGAUACCCUGGUAGUCCACGCUGUAAACGGUGGGUACUAGGUGUGGGGUCCAUUCCACGGGUUCCGUGCCGUAGCUAACGCUUUAAGUACCCCGCCUGGGGAGUACGGCCGCAAGGCUAAAACUCAAAGGAAUUGACGGGGCCCCGCACAAGCGGCGGAGCAUGCGGAUUAAUUCGAUGCAACGCGUAGAACCUUACCUGGGUUUGACAUGGAUCGGGAGCGCUCAGAGAUGGGUGUGCCUCUUUUGGGGUCGGUUCACAGGUGGUGCAUGGCUGUCGUCAGCUCGUGUCGUGAGAUGUUGGGUUAAGUCCCGCAACGAGCGCAACCCUUGUUCACUGUUGCCAGCACGUUAUGGUGGGGACUCAGUGGAGACCGCCGGGGUCAACUCGGAGGAAGGUGGGGAUGGCGUCAAGUCAUCAUGCCCCUUAUGUCCAGGGCUUCACGCAUGCUACAAUGGCUGGUACAGAGAGUGGCGAGCCUGUGAGGGUGAGCGAAUCUCGGAAAGCCGGUCUCAGUUCGGAUUGGGGUCUGCAACUCGACCUCAUGAAGUCGGAGUCGCUAGUAAUCGCAGAUCAGCAACGCUGCGGUGAAUACGUUCCCGGGGCU
Molecule: ribosomal RNA, 1346 nt
Filed under: uncultured bacterium
Lineage: Bacteria
Description: bacterial SSU rRNA
Rfam family: Bacterial small subunit ribosomal RNA
Source: RNAcentral